GGCUCAGAUUGAACGCUGGCGGCAUGCCUUACACAUGCAAGUCGAACGGCAGCACGGGUGCUUGCACCUGGUGGCGAGUGGCGAACGGGGUGAGUAAUAUAUCGGAACGUACCUUAUCGUGGGGGAUAACGCAGCGAAAGCUGCGCUAAUACCGCAUACGCCCUGAGGGGGAAAGCGGGGGGACCGUAAGGCCUCGCGCGAUUAGAGCGGCCGAUAUCUGAUUAGCUUGUUGGUGGGGUAAAAGCCUACCAAGGCGACGAUCAGUAGCUGGUCUGAGAGGACGAUCAGCCACACUGGGACUGAGACACGGCCCAGACUCCUACGGGAGGCAGCAGUGGGGAAUUUUGGACAAUGGGGGCAACCCUGAUCCAGCAAUGCCGCGUGCAGGAAGAAGCAUCUAUGGUGUGUAAACUGCUUUUGUACGGGAAGAAACACUCCUUCGUGAAGGAGCUUGACGGUACCGUAAGAAUAAGGAUCGGCUAACUCCGUG
RNAcentral lists this ribosomal RNA (490 nucleotides) under uncultured bacterium. RNAcentral describes it as "bacterial SSU rRNA". It matches the Rfam family "Bacterial small subunit ribosomal RNA", at positions 21 to 507 of the family's 1533-position model. The record is from RNAcentral.